CAGCCGCCGUGGUAAUACGGAGGGUGCAAGCGUUAAUCGGAAUUACUGGGCGUAAAGCGCACGCAGGCGGUCUGACAAGUCAGAUGUGAAAUCCCCGGGCUUAACCUGGGAACUGCAUUUGAAACUGUCAGGCUGGAGUCUUGUAGAGGGGGGUGGAAUUCCAGGUGUAGCGGUGAAAUGCGUAGAGAUCUGGAGGAACACCGAUGGCGAAGGCAAUCCCCUGGGCAUGUACUGACGCUCAUGCACGAAAGCGUGGGGAGCAAACAGGAUUAGAUACCCCUGUAGUCCCUGUCUCUUAUAC
Molecule: ribosomal RNA, 301 nt
Filed under: uncultured bacterium
Lineage: Bacteria
Description: partial 16S ribosomal RNA
Rfam family: Bacterial small subunit ribosomal RNA
Source: RNAcentral